Molecule: ribosomal RNA, 776 nt
Filed under: uncultured bacterium
Lineage: Bacteria
Description: bacterial SSU rRNA
Rfam family: Bacterial small subunit ribosomal RNA
Source: RNAcentral
AGAGUUUGAUCCUGGCUCAGGACGAACGCUGGCGGCGUGCUUAACACAUGCAAGUCACGGGGGCCCGCAAGGGCAACCGGCGAACGGGUGCGUAACACGUGAGCAACCUGCCUAGAUGUGGGGGAUAGCCGGCCCAACGGCCGGGUAAUACCGCAUACGGUCACGAGGAGGAGUCUCCUUGUGAAGAAACCUCCGGGGCAUUUAGAGGGGCUCGCGGCCUAUCAGCUAGUUGGCGGGGUAAUGGCCCACCAAGGCUUCGACGGGUAGCUGGUCUGAGAGGAUGGCCAGCCACAUUGGGACUGAGAGACGGCCCAGACUCCUACGGGAGGCAGCAGUGGGGAAUCUUGCGCAAUGGCCGAAAGGCUGACGCAGCGACGCCGCGUGUGGGAGGACGCCCUUCGGGGUGUAAACCACUGUUGCCCGGGACGAACAUCCACUUUCGAGUGGACUGACGGUACCGGGUGAGGAAGCACCGGCUAACUCCGUGCCAGCAGCCGCGGUAAUACGGAGGGUGCGAGCGUUGUCCGGAAUCACUGGGCGUAAAGGGCGCGUAGGCGGCGCGGAAAGUCAACGGUGAAAGCUUGGGGCUCAACCCCGAGUCGGCCGUCGAUACUUCCGUGCUCGAGCACUGUAGAGGCAGGUGGAAUUCCGGGUGUAGCGGUGGAAUGCGUAGAGAUCCGGAAGAACACCGGUGGCGAAGGCGGCCUGCUGGGCAGCAGCUGACGCUGAUGCGCGACAGCGUGGGGAGCAAACAGGAUUAGAUACCCUGGUAGUCC